Molecule: ribosomal RNA, 433 nt
Filed under: uncultured bacterium
Lineage: Bacteria
Description: partial 16S ribosomal RNA
Rfam family: Bacterial small subunit ribosomal RNA
Source: RNAcentral
AACGAACGCUGGCGGCAUGCCUAACACAUGCAAGUCGAACGAGACCUUCGGGUCUAGUGGCGCACGGGUGCGUAACGCGUGGGAACCUGCCCUUAGGUUCGGAAUAACUCCCCGAAAGGGGGGCUAAUACCGGAUAAUUUCUUCUGACCAAAGAUUUAUCGCCUUUGGAUGGGCCCGCGUUGGUUUAGCCAGUUGGUAGGGUAAAAGCCUACCAAGGCUAAGAUCCAUAGCUGGGCUGAGAGGAAGAUCAGCCACACUGGGACUGAGACACGGCCCAGACUCCUACGGGAGGGAGCAGUGGGGAAUAUUGGACAAUGGGCGAAAGCCUGAUCCAGCAAUGCCGGGUGAGUGAUGAAGGCCUUAGGGUUGUAAAGCUCUUUUACCCGGGAUGAUAAUGACGGUACCGGGAGAAUAAGCACCGGCUAACUCCGUG